AUCCAACUGACGAGUCCCAAAUAGGACGAAACACGCGUCCUGGAU
RNAcentral lists this non-coding RNA (45 nucleotides) under Schistosoma bovis. The record is from RNAcentral. RNAcentral also lists the same sequence under 1 other name. Lineage: Eukaryota; Metazoa; Platyhelminthes; Trematoda; Strigeidida; Schistosomatidae.